AUUUUUUGUAAAUUCACUAAACCUUCAAGACAUUUAUGAUAUUUUCUUUUUUAUUCAUAUCGCAAAGCUAACCAAUUUGAAAAAUAACGAUUAUGACAUAUUAAAAUUAUUAACAACUAGAUUGAAAAAUAUCUUACAAAUUAUUUAUGACCAUGAUAUUAAAGAAUUUAAUACUAGUCCUAAUACCUACAUUCUGAAUAUACUAGACCUUAUUAGAGAAAAAAAUAAUGAUAAUGUGAAGGACUUUGCUACCUUUUUUUUUUAUAGUUUAUAUAAGAAGAUAGUGGGAGAUGCAGCAGUCAGUGAUGAGAGCGUACAGGUUGGUGACCAGAACGAGCGUGGUGGUGACAUAAACGAAAUAAAUAAAAAUGAUUUUCCAGCGGAACAAACCGAAGUAGACAUUCAAGAUAAACUUACAAAUUCACACUCGGCCGAAAAAAAAAAUAAUUCUUAUAAAGAUAAUAACCUAAAUGAAAUAUAUACAAAAGCAAAUAAUAUUAUCAACAAUUUUAAAGACAUUAGAUUAUUUCUUAAAUAUUUUUUAAAAUAUUAUAAAAAAAAUCAGAACAAGUUAAAUAUAAGAAUUAUUGAUUACCUUUUAUGGAAUUCACAAUUAUUUUUUUCACAGAUGAAUGAAAAUAAAUACUUUUAUCAUAGUAGUUAUAUAUAUGGGGAAGAAAUGAAUGAAUAUUUCUAUUUGUUACGUAAGGUGAUUAAAGAAAAAUUAUAUGAUGAUGUAGGUAUGCGUAGAUGUAUUAGCAUAUUUAAAUACAUAAUAAAUACACAGAAGGCUCAUUAUCUAACUACUAAUACCACGAACACUAAUAUUCAUAACAGUUUCUUUGCAAGUUAUACAGACGUAACUGAUGUAAAUGUUUGGGGAUAUAUCAAUAAAGUUUUUAUUAAUUUUGUAUAAUUGGUAUGACUGUUUCUAUGUAUACUUAUGUGGGUGUGUUUGUGUGUGAUCAUGUGUUGGUCUAUGUGUGUAUGUACAUGUUUUUUAGGCGCACACAUUAUUUACGCGUUUUC
This 1029-nucleotide long non-coding RNA is filed under the name Piliocolobus tephrosceles (Ugandan red Colobus). Its description in RNAcentral is "lncRNA (ENSPTEG00000001252.1)". Lineage: Eukaryota; Metazoa; Chordata; Mammalia; Primates; Cercopithecidae. The record is from RNAcentral.